Molecule: ribosomal RNA, 253 nt
Filed under: uncultured bacterium
Lineage: Bacteria
Description: partial 16S ribosomal RNA
Rfam family: Bacterial small subunit ribosomal RNA
Source: RNAcentral
UACGGAGGGGGCUAGCGUUGUUCGGAAUUACUGGGCGUAAAGCGCACGUAGGCUGCUUUGUAAGUUAGAGGUGAAAGCCCGGGGCUCAACUCCGGAAUUGCCUUUAAGACUGCAUCGCUAGAAUUGUGGAGAGGUAAGUGGAAUUCCGAGUGUAGAGGUGAAAUUCGUAGAUAUUCGGAAGAACACCAGUGGCGAAGGCGACUUACUGGACACAUAUUGACGCUGAGGUGCGAAAGCGUGGGGAGCAAACAGG